GUUGCAGUUAAACGUCCGUAGUCAAAUUUUAGUCUUUAGAUGAGGUGGCCUGGUCUUCAUUGAUCAAGCUCGCUUUUAUCGAGACUUUUUUUCUGGUUAUGCUAUGAAUAGCUUCGGUUGUUUAUAGUCUCUAGCCAGAUGAUUACCAUGAGCAAAUCAGAGUGUUUAAAGCAGGCUUUCAAGCUUGAAUGUGUUAGCAUGGAAUAAUGAAAUAUGACUUUAGUCCCUAUUUCGUUGGUUCAGGAACUUAAGUAAUGAUGAAUAGAAACGGUUGGGGACAUUUGUAUUUGGUCGCUAGAGGUGAAAUUCUUGGAUUGACCGAAGACAAACUACUGCGAAAGCAUUUGAUCCAGGACGUUUUCAUUGAUCAAGGUCUAAAGUUAAGGGAUCGAAGACGAUUAGAUACCGUCGUAGUCUUAACCACAAACUAUGCCGACUAGAGAUUGGGCUUGUUUAUUAUGACUAGCUCAGCAUCUUAGCGAAAGUAAAGUUUUUGGGUUCUGGGGGGAGUAUGGGACGCAAGGCUGAAACUUAAAGGAAUUGACGGAAGGGCACCACCAGGAGUGGAGCCUGCGGCUUAAUUUGACUCAACACGGGGAAACUCACCAGGUCCAGACAUAGUAAGGAUUGACAGAUUGAAAGCUCUUUCUAGAUUCUAUGGGUGGUGGUGCAUGGCCGUUCUUAGUUCGUGGAGUGAUUUGUCUGGUUAAUUCCGAUAACGAACGAGACCUUAUUCUGCUAAAUAGGCAGGUCAACUUUUUAGUUGAUUAAUAGAUUUAUCUAUCUGGCUUCUUAGAGAGACUAUCGGCUUCAAGCCGAAGAGUUUAGCAAUAACAGGUCUGUGAUGCCCUUAGAUGUUUCUGGGCCGCACGCGCGCUACACUGAU
This 886-nucleotide ribosomal RNA is filed under the name uncultured fungus. RNAcentral's name for it is "SSU rRNA". It matches the Rfam family "Eukaryotic small subunit ribosomal RNA", at positions 612 to 1507 of the family's 1831-position model. The record is from RNAcentral. Lineage: Eukaryota; Fungi.